CGGUAAUUUGACCGUGCAAAGGUAGCAUAAUCAUUAGUUCUUUAAUUGAGAACUGGUAUGAAUGGUCGGACAAGAGAGAGACUGUCUCUAAUAUUGAAAUUGAAAUUGACUUUUAAGUGAAAAGGCUUAAAUAUAUUAAGGGGACGAUAAGACCCUAUAAAGCUUUAUACAUUAGAUUAAGUUAAUUUAAUUGAAUAAUAAAAAUUUACUUAGUUAAAUGUAUUAGGUUGGGGCGACUAAGGUAUAAUUUUUGGUAACUGAUUAUUAACAAAUCAAUAAUGGUUGAUUAACGUAUAAUUGAUCCUUUCUAAAGAUUAAAGAUUAAGUUACUUUAGGGAUAACAGCGUAAUUUUUUCUGAGAGUUCAUAUCGAAGAAAAAGUUUGCGACCUCGAUGUUGAAUUAAAAUGUCUUUAUAAUGCAGCAG
Molecule: ribosomal RNA, 425 nt
Filed under: Liocarcinus maculatus
Lineage: Eukaryota; Metazoa; Arthropoda; Malacostraca; Decapoda; Polybiidae
Description: partial 16S ribosomal RNA
Rfam family: Bacterial large subunit ribosomal RNA
Source: RNAcentral